CAGCCGCCGCGGUAAUACGAAGGGUGCAAGCGUUAAUCGGAAUUACUGGGCGUAAAGGGUGCGUAGGCGGUUGUUUAAGUCUGUUGUGAAAUCCCCGGGCUCAACCUGGGAAUGGCAAUGGAAACUGGACGGCUAGAGUGUGUCAGAGGAUGGUGGAAUUCCCGGUGUAGCGGUGAAAUGCGUAGAGAUCGGGAGGAACAUCUGUGGCGAAGGCGACUAUCUGGGCCAACACUGACGCUGAGGCACGAAAACGUGGGGAGCAAACAGGAUUAGAUACCCCAGUAGUCCCUGUCUCUUAUAC
Molecule: ribosomal RNA, 301 nt
Filed under: uncultured bacterium
Lineage: Bacteria
Description: partial 16S ribosomal RNA
Rfam family: Bacterial small subunit ribosomal RNA
Source: RNAcentral